Long non-coding RNA from Syngnathoides biaculeatus (alligator pipefish), 720 nucleotides. RefSeq lists it as uncharacterized. The record is from RefSeq and is a predicted model, not a curated record. NCBI's taxonomy places the organism in Eukaryota, Metazoa, Chordata, Actinopteri, Syngnathiformes, Syngnathidae. The transcript is spliced from 3 exons.
CUGCUUUAAAAAAAAAAAAAAAAGAAUCAUCUCUCAUGCCGAUGAUUGCCGCUAACCCGGAAGUAGCGCGACAGUCCGAAACAGCGAUAGCUCGCAUCAAUGGCUUCAGGAUCUCUGGGAGCUGGAGCCUAUCCCAGGUGACUUUGGGCGAAAGACGGACUACACCCUGAAGUGGUCGUCAAUAGGUCGCAGAGCACAUUGAGACAUGGACAACCAUUCACAUUGUCACUGAUGCGCAGGAGACAGGAGUUGUGGGAAGACAACUUGUGGACGAUGACAAUGACGAUGUGCCUGCACACAAUGCCCUGAAUAUCCAUCAGAUGGUGGCCAAGAAGAACAAGCUGGAGCAAUCUCGCCAAUGAAAGCCUAGCUGCUCACUGCUUUGCCACAUUAGUAAAUGAGGGGGGAGAACAUAUAGACUAGGGGAAAAAAAGGAACGUCAAGUCUGCUUCUUGAAAUCUUGACAGUGGACCUUUCUGACCGGCGAACUUCAGCUCCGCCCCCCUUAGCUACAGUUGCAAUGCCGCACAAUCUUCCAAAAUGGCGACUGAAAAUAAUAGGUUUGAACCGGGUCCUAUAUCGCGUAUUCCAUAUAAUAUUGGGGUAUGUUUUUUGCCAAAUGCGUCAGACUUCUCCAAAAUAGUUCUACAGAGAGGUGUCAACUAUUCCACACAAGGAUAUGUACACGGGAUUAAGAAUUUGGAUGGAGGAGGACGCAAU